GGAAGCUUACCUUCCUCUCGCUUGUUUAAUGCAUUGGCUAGUUGACCCAUUUGGAAUUCUAGCUUAGCAAUUGAUUGCGUGUGAGAGUGCAAUAGUUGUGUGUUUGCCUCCAAACCUUGAAGGGCAGUCAACACUUUCUCCUCAAAGGCUGUAUUUCUUUGGAUUGGAGGAGGAGGGUGUUGAAAUUGAUUUGAGGGACGGUAGAGAUGAAAAUUCUGAGGGUUUUGAAAAUUUUGGGAGUAGGGUUGGGUAGUAUUCGAAGUAUGCUGCCUCCAAGAAAAAUUUGGAUGAUUCCGCCAUCCCGGAUUAUAUGUAUUGAAAAAUGGAUCAUUAUCCGGUCUGGGUUGUGUUUGAGCAGCAUUGAUGUGUUCUUACAUGAGUUCGAAGAAUUGGGGUGCUGAGGGGCACUCAUGAAUAGGAUGCGAUGGGCUAGAACAGAUAGCACAUACUUGUGCUUGGGAAGAGCUAACGACAUGUUCUCCUAUCAUUAGUUGGUCAAUCUUAUGGGACAAUGCAUCUACCUUGCUAGACAGGUCCAUAGAACGACUUAUUUCACAAAUGGCCCCUUUUCUUUGAAAAUUCGGGGGUGCUUGACGAGAACAUGAAGCAUGGUGGAG
Molecule: long non-coding RNA, 617 nt
Filed under: Phoenix dactylifera (date palm)
Lineage: Eukaryota; Viridiplantae; Streptophyta; Magnoliopsida; Arecales; Arecaceae
Description: long non-coding RNA (PDAC_LNC016622)
Source: RNAcentral